CUAAGGCGAGGCCGACAGGCGUAGUCGAUGGAUAACGGGUUGAUAUUCCCGUACCGGUGAAGAACCGCCCAUACUGAUAUUGUGAUGCUAACCAUGCGAAGCAUGAUGUGCAGGCUUUUGUUUGUGUGUUGUGUGGGUUGUGGGACCCGAUCUUUGGAGGUAAACGUGUUAACAGGUGUGACGCAGGAAGGUAGCCAAGCCACGCGAUGGUUGUCGUGGUCUAAGCGUGUAGGGUUGUCGGUUGUUAAAUGCGCCGGCUGUGUGCCUGAGACGUGAUGGGACCCCGUUUUUGGGGGAUUUGGUGAUCCUAUGCUGCCGAGAAAAGCAUCGGCGUGAGGUUUUAGCCGCCCGUACCCUAAACCGACACAGGUGAUCAGGUAGAGAAUACUAAGGCGAUCGAGAGAAUCAUGGUUAAGGAACUCGGCAAAAUGCCCCCGUAACUUCGGGAGAAGGGGGACCUUGAGCGUGAUGGGCACUUGCUGCCUGGAGCGUGUAUGGGUCGCAGAGACCAGGGGGAAGCGACUGUUUAUCAAAAACACAGGUCCGUGCGAAGUCGUAAGACGAUGUAUACGGACUGACUCCUGCCCGGUGCUGGAAGGUUAAGAGGAUUGGUUAGCCCUUUUUGGGCGAAGCUGAGAAUUUAAGCCCCAGUAAACGGCGGUGGUAACUAUAACCAUCCUAAGGUAGCGAAAUUCCUUGUCGGGUAAGUUCCGACCUGCACGAAUGGAGUAACGACUUCCCUACUGUCUCAACCAUGAACUCGGCGAAAUUGCAGUACGAGUAAAGAUGCUCGUUUCGCGCAGCAGGACGGAAAGACCCCGUGACCUUUACUAUAGUUUGGUAUUGGUGUUUGGUUUGGCUUGUGUAGGAUAGGUGGGAGACUGUGAAGCAUGGACGCUAGUUUGUGUGGAGUCGUUGUUGAAAUACCACUCUGGUCAAUCUGGAUGUCUAACUUCGGGCCAUGAUCUGGUUCAGGGACAGUGCCUGAUGGGUAGUUUAACUGGGGCGGUUGCCUCCUAAAGUGUAACGGAGGCGCCCAAAGGUUCCCUCAGCCUGGUUGGCAAUCAGGUGUUGAGUGUAAGUGCACAAGGGAGCUUGACUGUGAGACUGGCAGGUCGAGCAGGGACGAAAGUCGGGACUAGUGAUCCGGCGGUACGUUGUGGAACGGCCGUCGCUCAACGGAUAAAAGGUACCUCGGGGAUAACAGGCUGAUCUUGCCCAAGAGUCCAUAUCGACGGCAUGGUUUGGCA
RNAcentral lists this ribosomal RNA (1250 nucleotides) under human oral metagenome. RNAcentral's name for it is "bacterial LSU rRNA". It matches the Rfam family "Bacterial large subunit ribosomal RNA", at positions 1391 to 2523 of the family's 2925-position model. The record is from RNAcentral.